This 72-nucleotide transfer RNA is filed under the name Marmota monax (woodchuck). RNAcentral's name for it is "tRNA.Ala". Lineage: Eukaryota; Metazoa; Chordata; Mammalia; Rodentia; Sciuridae. The record is from RNAcentral.
UGGGUUGUGGCUCAGUGGUGGAGCGCUCGCCUAGCACAUGCGAGACCCUGGGUUUAAUCUUCAGCACCACAC